GAUGAACGCUGGCGGCGUGCCUAAUACAUGCAAGUCGAGCGAACAGACGGGGAGCUUGCUCCUCUGACGUUAGCGGCGGACGGGUGAGUAACACGUGGAUAACCUACCUAUAAGACUGGGAUAACUUCGGGAAACCGGAGCUAAUACCGGAUAAUAUAUUGAACCGCAUGGUUCAAUAGUGAAAGACGGUUUUGCUGUCGCUUAUAGAUGGAUCCGCGCCGCAUUAGCUAGUUGGUAAGGUAACGGCUUACCAAGGCAACGAUGCGUAGCCGACCUGAGAGGGUGAUCGGCCACACUGGAACUGAGACACGGUCCAGACUCCUACGGGAGGCAGCAGUAGGGAAUCUUCCGCAAUGGGCGAAAGCCUGACGGAGCAACGCCGCGUGAGUGAUGAAGGUCUUCGGAUCGUAAAACUCUGUUAUUAGGGAAGAACAAAUGUGUAAGUAACUAUGCACGUCUUGACGGUACCUAAUCAGAAAGCCACGGCUAACUACGUG
Molecule: ribosomal RNA, 497 nt
Filed under: uncultured bacterium
Lineage: Bacteria
Description: partial 16S ribosomal RNA
Rfam family: Bacterial small subunit ribosomal RNA
Source: RNAcentral